GCCAUCGUGGCUAAGGGGUAUAGCGGUGCCUUGGUAAGGCGCAGGUCGUGGGUUCGAUUCCCACCGAUGGCUCCA
RNAcentral lists this transfer RNA (75 nucleotides) under Marine Group III euryarchaeote CG-Epi2. Its description in RNAcentral is "tRNA-Thr". It matches the Rfam family "tRNA". Rfam says of the family: Transfer RNA (tRNA) molecules are approximately 80 nucleotides in length. Their secondary structure includes four short double-helical elements and three loops (D, anti-codon, and T loops). Further hydrogen bonds mediate the characteristic L-shaped molecular structure. tRNAs have two regions of fundamental functional importance: the anti-codon, which is responsible for specific mRNA codon recognition, and the 3' end, to which the tRNAs corresponding amino acid is attached (by aminoacyl-tRNA synthetases). tRNAs cope with the degeneracy of the genetic code in two manners: having more than one tRNA (with a specific anti-codon) for a particular amino acid; and 'wobble' base-pairing, i.e. permitting non-standard base-pairing at the 3rd anti-codon position. Lineage: Archaea; Methanobacteriati; Thermoplasmatota; Thermoplasmata; Candidatus Thermoprofundales. RNAcentral also lists the same sequence under 6 other names. The record is from RNAcentral.